AGUCUGAAGAUGGCGGCCUCAGCAGCGAGAGGUGCUGCGGCGCUGCGUAGAAGUAUCAAUCAGCCGGUUGCUUUUGUGAGAAGAAUUCCUUGGACUGCGGCGUCGAGGAUCAUAGUCCACAUAGCACAGUAACUGGUAUGAAAACACUCGAUAUUUGCUGAGGAUGGAGACUGCAGCCAACUCAACAACUUCUCUGUCCAUCUCACCACCAAGUCUGGUCAGCUGAAAGAACACUUUGCACAGUUCGGCCAUGUCAGAAGGUGCAUUUUACCUUUUGACAAGGAGACUGGCUUUCACAGAGGUUUGGGUUGGGUUCAGUUUUCUUCAGAAGAAGGACUUCGGAAUGCACUACAACAGGAAAAUCAUAUUAUAGAUGGAGUAAAGGUCCAGGUUCACACUAGAAGGCCAAAACUUCCGCAAACAUCUGAUGAUGAAAAGAAAGAUUUUUGAGACUGCAGCCUAUUAAUAAAGUUAACAUAACUGAGAA
Homo sapiens (human) is the source of this 487-nucleotide RNA transcript. It is a transcript of the gene named SRA stem-loop interacting RNA binding protein, with no coding region annotated. The transcript has 5 exons. Lineage: Eukaryota; Metazoa; Chordata; Mammalia; Primates; Hominidae. The annotation marks the transcript as partial. The record is from RefSeq and is marked validated.